UCCAUUGUUGGUGGGAUUGCAAGCUUGUACAACCACUCUGGAAAUCAGUCUGGCGGUUCCUCAGAAAAUUGGACAUAGUACUACCGGAAGAUCCAGCAAUACCUCUUCUGGGCAUAUAUCAAGAAAUAUAUUUCUUAACUGAUAGGUUGAUUGUAUGUGUGUGUGUGUGUAGUGUAUAUGUGUGCAUGUGUAUAGUGUAUGUGUGUGUAUGUAGAUGCUGUUUUAUUUCCAUGUAGCCUCCAAGUUGUGUUUAAUUAAUGCAUAAUCUUUUACCUAAUGUCUCUUUUCAACUAUAAACUAAUCUCCAUGAGACAGGAACAAUCAAUAUCUGUAGAUACACACUCACACACAUAGAUCUAUAGAUAGAUAGAUAGAUAGAUAGAUAGAUAGAUAGAUAGAUAGAUAGAUAGACAGACAGAUAAAUACAGAUAGGUGUAAAGACUGACAAAAUAUCAGAAAAGACUAUAGAUGUUUAUUCACAAAUUUUAAAAAUGUGUUGAAUAUACAUUAAAUGUAAAAUAUACUACUAAAUCAUAUUACAAGGAAUGUUUUCCUCUUUAUGUUUCUCUGUAUUCUAUUAUUUCUGGGAAAUUAACGCCAUUAUUUAAAAACUUAAAAAGACAGGUUGUUUAGCUACUAAGUCCUCUGCACUUGCAUAGUGCACUUAUUUUUAUUUCUCAGAUCCUUAUCAUGGCAACUCCACAUAGCAUCACACAGCUGGCUGACUGAAGGCAAGAUGAGCCAGUAACUAGGAGAUCUGGGACUUGAUAAAAUUUCUUUGAGUCAAGAGCUGUGUGUUCUUGUUUUACCUCCAUUGGGCAAUGUUCCAUUGAAAAUAGCUCUCUUAAAAAUGAAAUAAAGUUUGAUUUUCAAAACCAAAUAUGACGUCUUGAACUGGAGCCCAGCUUACACUAUUGAUUAGGUUUGCAAUUUGGGGCAAGGUAAUAAAUUUUUUUUCAGUUAGUUUUAGAGACUAAGAUGAAGAUACAAGGUGACUCCAUUUUACAUACUACAGUCUGAGAUAAAGAGCAAGACCAGACACUAUAGAGAUGGCUAAGCUUUACAAACAGGUUAACAUUUCAAAGUACCUAAAACAGAAAUCAAGUCAUGCGGGACUGGGCCUAAAGACUUGGAGAUUGAUGUGAAGAAUCAUUUUCUGGGUAGCAGUGGAAAUGAAAAUAUCCAUCAAAAUGAGAACCAGAUCCAGGUUAACUGCCAGGAGCAAGGGUCAGGGUCAAAGCAAGGUUCUGAAGGUGAAAGUCCAGACCUUUGCAUAGGAGCCUCACCAUGAGGAGCAGAACUGGUGUAACCACACAAGCUGAUUCCUUCUACGUGACAUUAGUUUUAUGGAGCAGUCUGCCAGGAUUGUGUUUUGUUUUGUUUGUUUCUCUAAUCUUGAAGAGCUACCACAAGUAAUAACUUUAAGAAGCUAUUUAUCAAAACCAGGAAGAAGAAAAACUACAGAAGC
Molecule: long non-coding RNA, 1468 nt
Filed under: Mus musculus (house mouse)
Lineage: Eukaryota; Metazoa; Chordata; Mammalia; Rodentia; Muridae
Description: long non-coding RNA chr10:90426587-90428055
Source: RNAcentral